UACGUAGGGGCUAGCGUUGUCCGGAAUCAUUGGGCGUAAAGCGCGUGUAGGCGGCUGGGUAGGUCCGUUGUGAAAACUCGAGGCUCAACCUCGAGACGCCGAUGGAAACCAUCCAGCUAGAGUCCGGAAGAGGAGAGUGGAAUUCCUGGUGUAGCGGUGAAAUGCGCAGAUAUCAGGAAGAACACCCGUGGCUAAGGCGGCUCUCUAGUACGGUACUGACGCUGAGACGCGAAAGCGUGGGGAGCGAACAGG
This 252-nucleotide ribosomal RNA is filed under the name uncultured bacterium. Its description in RNAcentral is "partial 16S ribosomal RNA". It matches the Rfam family "Bacterial small subunit ribosomal RNA", at positions 524 to 776 of the family's 1533-position model. The record is from RNAcentral.